GAACUUGUAUAACAUCUAUUGAAUUACAAAGAUAACAUACAUGAAGGAAAUCUACCAACAAGGCAUAUGUACAUAUACAUGCAGAAUAUAGUGGACGAGCCGACAAGGCUGCAAUAGACAACUAUACAUCCAAUAAUUGAAAGCUGACAAGUCCAUAUACAACCCAACUAGACAUAUUGUCUACAGACCUCUAAUGGAAACACAACUAUACAAAGACGGGACUAAGCCACGUCAUUCCCAUAUAUAUAUAUAAACGUACCAAAAUCAAAAGCAGCUCCAGAUCAAGUGGAGCAUGCCAGCUUUCGCUGAUCAGGGAUCCUAAGAAGGGGAAACGUCAGCUUACCUACCUGCACCUGCGGGCAUGAAACGUAGGCCCCGUGAAAUAGGGCGUCAGUAUGAAAAAUGUACCGAGUAUAUAAGGCAUGAAAAUUAGUACGUAAAAGACAGAUGAAACAUGGAAUAUAGAAACAUGUCUUUAAAUCUGAAUAAUUUUAUAAAUUCUAAAACACUUAUAAUGUCAUGCACGUGCGUAUAAAUGUCGUGCCAUGCAUAGGUAUGGGUGUACAUUAUACCAUCAAGCCACUGAGGGCAUCCCAUCAUAUCGUCUCGGCCAUUUUGGCAACAUCACCAAUAUAUACCAGCUGAUUAGGUGGUGGUGUGUAUAUAACGCCGUAACCUUUUUCCAUAUCCCAUAUACAUAUAUUUACAUAUAUACGCGUAUAUAAUGUCAUCUGGUCAUGGGUCAAUGCACAUAUAUGAAUGGGUGAAAUGCAUGCAAAAUACGUAAAAAUCUCAAUAUUCUUUCCGGAUAAACUUUUUCAACUGCGUAUUAUUCUGAGACCCAUGAACAAAAGAUAAUAACAAUUCACAUGGGGAAUCAAGAAUAUAGACACCCCUAGUAUUUCUAUGAAUAGAGUAAUUUAUGAAAACUGUGCGUUUGCUAUUUUCUUCAGUAUAAUUUGGACCGUGCCAAAAGAAAGAAGGGAGGGCUUUAACAUACCUGGAGUAGGGAAAUCCCUAUGAUAUUCUUGAAAAAGAUUGCACCGUACUCCUUUAGAACCGCAAAUUUUCUUACGUUGUUAAGCUUCUAAUAAUAAUUCUCGUUGAAUUUAAUUGAAGAAGCCUCGGUGCUACUGUUUUGUAGGAAUCUCACGGUCACGAAAAUGGUAACAAUUUGAACAAAAUCUCCUACUAAUCUCGCUACUGUUUGUAUUUGUAACAAAAGUGAGGAUGGGACUUUGUUUGAAAUUCAGAAAGCAACGUUCUGUUGCAAAGCCUUCAAAAUGAAAUGAAUUGGAAUUUGAAAUUCAGAAAGCAACGUUCUGUUGCAAAGCCUUCAAAAUGAAAUGAAUUGAAUUUGAAAUUUAGAAAGCAACGUU
This 1379-nucleotide long non-coding RNA is filed under the name Nicotiana tabacum (common tobacco). RNAcentral's name for it is "long non-coding RNA (NTAB_LNC006733)". Lineage: Eukaryota; Viridiplantae; Streptophyta; Magnoliopsida; Solanales; Solanaceae. The record is from RNAcentral.